CGUCACAGUAGCAGACAUCAAGUGACUCUUAAAUGUUCAUAAUCACAUUUCUGACGGAACUUGGAAUUGUCUACUUUUUGGCGAAGGUCUGUUCCCCCCCCCAAAACAAGCCCUUCUUACCGGUUAGCUGCCUAUCGACGCACACGCUCCUCUCUGGGAGGUCUCCCGUUGGCGCUCGGUGUCCGGUGUGCAGCGUCGCUGGACGGAACAGGGCGGAGGAGGAGCCCUUGGCAGUGGCCGGCAGCGGUGUGCCGUCUCCGGGGAAGCGGGUGCAGGUAGGCCGCUUGGAGGUGGUCGACCCCACCCAGUGCUACGAGGCCACGCCCACUCCUCCAGCGCCUCCCGCAGGUACUGCAUGUCCUCCGCGGCACUCAGCUCCGGCAUGCCGGUCAGCAGCAUGAGAGAGAAGAGCGUCACCAGCAGGCCCGAGUGUGAACGCAGCGCCAGGAAGUCAGGCGUGAGGACAAAUGGAACACGCUCCCUGCUGACUCCCAGGAAGUGCUUCCUGUUCCCCAAAAUGUGGCCAAAGUCAAUGUGGAACAAAUUGCCUGAAGACACAACGGACAUGAAAUUGACAUACAACAGACAGACAAUGGUUGUUGGAUGAUACAUAUGAAGAAGUGGUUUGUGCUUGAUGGUUCAUACCUUCAUGCGUGAUCAUAAUGUUGUCAUUGUGACGAUCGCCAAUGCCGAGCACGUAUGUGGCCACACAGUAUCCAGCACAAGACUUGACAAAGCGUUCCACAGUCUUGAAGUGCUGCAUCAAACGUGUAGUGUUAAUGCACACAAACAUCUACUACAUCCAACAUCCACCUUCUGUAACAUUUGUAGAGUAAUGGGGAUGCUGGAGUCCAUCCCAGCUAACUUGAGGCCAAGGGUGGGUCGGAUAUCAACACGACAUGAAUGGUCAUGAAUUACAAUUUCCUGGAGUGAACUCUUGGAUCUGAGCCACUCAAAGACAGCAUCAUCUCUGAAGAAUCCAUUGGUUCCUCCGUGGCUCCUCUGCACUGCUGCGAUGGUCGCCGCGUCUCGUACGAUCUCAAUCAUUCCUGAGUAACAGAAAGGUGUUUUAUCUUGGAACUGUUAGCCUUGAUGCUGGAAUGGAGCCAGUCUUAAAGGGCUUUUAGUAACAUAUUGUGUGUGUGUGUGGGUAGCUUUAAUGCUAAUGAUCUGUGUGUCUCAAGAGGCCCUAUUGCAUACUUCACAACCAGUAACUCUGCACUAACCUAAUACACAAAUAUUUGUAUUUCACUUUAUUUCAACAUUUUUAUGCAGGUAAUUGAUUAAUUUAGGGGAAAAAUGCAAAAUGAGCUUAAACGUUCAUAUUUUGACUACUAAUAAGCCACAUUCAACCAUAUUCAUGAAGCAGCUGUAAAGGUCAAAGGUCGAAGUGUCCAGGCACCAACUGAGUAACAUAAAGGGGUGGACACACGUGUUAGCAACAAUAGCAAGUGCUAACGUUACAUUUUAGCAUCAGGCUAGGUUAGCAUAUUGACUGAAGAAAAACUACAUGAUCAAAGCUACAGCUUUAUUUUAGCUUGUCCUCCAAGGGGCUAUUGGGCGUGAUUCACCACCUCUAUUUCUAUAGCUCAACCCAACUGAUCGAGACAGACAGCCCACACAGAGCCUGGGUUCUGUCCAAGGUUUCGUUUUCUUGCCUCCGUCGCCAAGAGCGUGCUCCUGUUGGUUUCAGUUGGUUCUGUCUUCAUUUGUGUAAAGUGCCACGAGAUAACUGCUGUUGUGACUUGACGCUAACUUGGACUUGUUUACUCUGCUUACCUAUGUUGUGUCCCGUGGAGAUGCAGCCAUACGGUAGGAGGUUGAGGUGCAGUGACUGCUCCUGCCAUAUUGACUCCAUCACCAUUAAAGUCUAAAGAAAAAGCAACACGACUUUUAUGGCCAUGUGAAGUCAUAAAG
Doryrhamphus excisus (bluestripe pipefish) is the source of this 1917-nucleotide non-coding RNA. The record is from RefSeq and is a predicted model, not a curated record. NCBI's taxonomy places the organism in Eukaryota, Metazoa, Chordata, Actinopteri, Syngnathiformes, Syngnathidae.